AUCAGCAACUAAACAGAGUAUGGUGCAAGUUAAUGAGGAAAUUUGAGUGAAGUAAAAAGUCAAGUUGUCAAAGAUGCCUUCAGAUGAAAUUAAACACUCCAGAAAGGAAGUGGGAAAGGGAGAAGCUCCAUUUUAUGUCAUUAAGUUUUUUUUUUUUUUUGUCUGAUCAGUCGAUGUCUCACCAAAAUAAGUCUUUUAAGAAAAAGGACAAAAAUGACCCCUUUUUCUAUUCUACAAGAAAUACACAUUUUCUAAGAAGUGUUUCAUAAUGUUGAAUUGUGCAAGAAUAAUGGAAGAAAGAAUUACCUUAAACAAA
Molecule: long non-coding RNA, 316 nt
Organism: Gossypium arboreum
Lineage: Eukaryota; Viridiplantae; Streptophyta; Magnoliopsida; Malvales; Malvaceae
Exons: 2
Source: RefSeq, a predicted model, not a curated record